RNAcentral lists this ribosomal RNA (917 nucleotides) under Enterococcus faecium. RNAcentral describes it as "partial 23S ribosomal RNA". It matches the Rfam family "Bacterial large subunit ribosomal RNA", at positions 1 to 920 of the family's 2925-position model. The record is from RNAcentral. Lineage: Bacteria; Bacillati; Bacillota; Bacilli; Lactobacillales; Enterococcaceae.
GGUUAAGUGAAUAAGGGCGCACGGUGGAUGCCUUGGCACUAGGAGCCGAUGAAGGACGGGACUAACACCGAUAUGCUUUGGGGAGCUGUACGUAAGCUAUGAUCCAGAGAUUUCCGAAUGGGGGAACCCAACAUCUUUAAUAGGAUGUUACGAUUGUGUGAAUACAUAGCACAUUCGAGGUAGACGCAGAGAACUGAAACAUCUAAGUACCUGCAGGAAGAGAAAGAAAAUUCGAUUCCCUGAGUAGCGGCGAGCGAAACGGGAAAAGCCCAAACCAGCAAGCUUGCUUGUUGGGGUUGUAGGACUCCAAUAUGGUAGUUCUUUCAGAUAGUCGAAUGACUUGGAAAAGUCAGUCAAAGAGGGUAAAAACCCCGUAGACGAAAUGUGGAAGACACCUAGGAGGAUCCUGAGUACGGCGGAACACGAGAAAUUCCGUCGGAAUCCGGGAGGACCAUCUCCCAAGGCUAAAUACUCCCUAGUGACCGAUAGUGAACCAGUACCGUGAGGGAAAGGUGAAAAGCACCCCGGAAGGGGAGUGAAAUAGAACCUGAAACCGUGUGCCUACAACAAGUCAAAGCCCGUUAAUGGGUGAUGGCGUGCCUUUUGUAGAAUGAACCGGCGAGUUACGAUUGCAUGCGAGGUUAAGUUGAAGAGACGGAGCCGCAGCGAAAGCGAGUCUGAAUAGGGCGUUUGAGUAUGUAGUCGUAGACCCGAAACCAUGUGAUCUACCCAUGUCCAGGUUGAAGGUGCGGUAAAACGCACUGGAGGACCGAACCCACGUACGUUGAAAAGUGCGGGGAUGAGGUGUGGGUAGCGGAGAAAUUCCAAACGAACUUGGAGAUAGCUGGUUCUCUCCGAAAUAGCUUUAGGGCUAGCCUCGGAAUUGAGAAUGAUGGAGGUAGAGCACUGUUUGGACU